CAGCAUUCUGGCGGGCAUGCCUGUUCGAGCGUCAUUUCAACCCUCAGGACCCCCCUUUCGCGGGGAGGGACCUGGCGUUGGGGAUCGGCCCGCCCCCGUGGCGGCGCCGUCCCCGAAAUCUAGUGGCGGUCUCGCUGCAGCCUCCCCUGCGUAGUAG
This 157-nucleotide ribosomal RNA is filed under the name Stachybotrys echinatus. RNAcentral describes it as "Memnoniella echinata 5.8S ribosomal RNA". The record is from RNAcentral. Lineage: Eukaryota; Fungi; Ascomycota; Sordariomycetes; Hypocreales; Stachybotryaceae.